This 253-nucleotide ribosomal RNA is filed under the name uncultured bacterium. RNAcentral describes it as "partial 16S ribosomal RNA". It matches the Rfam family "Bacterial small subunit ribosomal RNA", at positions 524 to 776 of the family's 1533-position model. The record is from RNAcentral.
UACGUAGGGUGCGAGCGUUAAUCGGAAUUACUGGGCGUAAAGCGUGCGCAGGCGGUUCAUUAAGUCAGAUGUGAAAGCCCCGGGCUCAACCUGGGAACUGCAUUUGAAACUGGCGGGCUUGAGUGUGGCAGAGGGGGGUGGAAUUCCGCGUGUAGCAGUGAAAUGCGUAGAUACUGGGAGGAACACCGGUGGCGAAGGCGGCUACCUGGACCGGUUCUGACGCUGAGGCGCGAAAGCGUGGGUAGCAAACAGG